GGCCGGGUGUGAGGCUAAUACAAGACUCCCGCAAGGGGGGAAUACGCCCGCCGUCUGACAGCGGUUUUGAGCCCCCGGCCACCCUCUC
Molecule: non-coding RNA, 88 nt
Filed under: Chromobacterium violaceum ATCC 12472
Lineage: Bacteria; Pseudomonadati; Pseudomonadota; Betaproteobacteria; Neisseriales; Chromobacteriaceae
Description: sRNA-Xcc1
Rfam family: sRNA-Xcc1
Source: Rfam by way of RNAcentral